Molecule: long non-coding RNA, 1554 nt
Organism: Ctenopharyngodon idella (grass carp)
Lineage: Eukaryota; Metazoa; Chordata; Actinopteri; Cypriniformes; Xenocyprididae
Exons: 3
Source: RefSeq, a predicted model, not a curated record
CGGGACUAAAGUGGGUGGGUAGUUUCAAGCAGCGGGGUAAAUCUCUUGCUGUCCGGGAAGAGAAAACUGACUGUCUACUCACUCCCGGCUAUUUCUUCUGCAUAGUCAGCUCUCUCUGACUGCUGCAUUACAUCCAAGGAACAUGUGCGCACAGCGCUUGAUUCUCAAGAGUGCAGGCUGAGGAAAGUCAAAUGACAGACUUCUCCUUUGGACCAAUAGAAGCCCCUAAAUCCCAAGGCAGUCAUUUUGAUCAAGCUGAGUGCCUACAAGCCCCACUCACAUGUUUGGUCAAGAGGUAAACGCUCAGCAGAUGACAGUCCUCCUACCUCGGAUUGCAGGCGGAGAACCGGGGCUUUCCCAAUCCUCUGUGGUGAGAUACUUCCCGUGCUCUGCCUACUCAGCCCACCAAGGGAUUGUCAUUGCUUCCUGAUUGUAUGUGCUGCAUGGUGAUUCGGUGUGAAUACAUCUCUGUUUCUCAGUGACAUGGAGGAGGAACAGAUGAGUUAAAUGGAAUCAUUUUAUUUUACAUCACAUUAAAAAUACCGUGGCAACAGCAGACAAUAGACAAGAUUGGUAUUAGUCAGGCCACAAUAGAAUGUUCUAGAAUGCUUAAAAUCAUGCAUUCAUGCUAUUAAAGCAUUAGAUAAAAGUAAUAAAUAAAAGAAAAAUCUAACUACAAAGCCAAGAACAACCAAUGAAGAGCAAAAGAAAGAAGGUUUAAAAACUAAAUACACAAAACAAUUGAAAAAAAAAAAAAACACACACAAAAGUGUAAAAUAAGCAAUUGAAAAUAAAAUUAUAUUUUAACCGUAACAAUGGGAUUUACACAUACACUAGUGGUCUGACAAAGUAAAAAACGAUUUUAAUGUGUUGCACAGCACAGUAUAAAUUAGGGUCACUCAAGGAUAUUCUGUUUUUAUUAUAGGCUAAUAAUUUUAAUCUCUAUUUAUAUUCUUUUCUGUUUUUUAGUCCAGAUUUAAACUAAAUAGAUAACUGGAAAAACGACUACAUUUAUUUCCUACUUGAGCAACAUUUGCGUGGUUGUCUGUUGAUCCGAACUUUUUACAGGCCUUGGGGGUUGUAAAUGGAGCAUGUUACAUUUGUGACGUUUGGCCGCUGUUGGAGGCUGUUGAACGGAAACUGAUAUUAGUGCCAGAGAGUGCAUGUAAAAUCACAUUCGGAAUGGAUGACUGGUAACUAUCAGCAGUAAACAAAGGGCUUUGUUGAGCAAGAAAGAAAAAGUUGAUUCAAAAGUGCCAUGUGUCUGUGCUCCUAAAAGGGGCAGAUGUUACAAAUUACCAGCCAGUCUACUGCCUCUGAAAUCGCAGCUCAAAUGAGCAUCCUAAUGAGAGGCACUGUUUGCGGGUCAAAGAAAAGCCUAAUCACGCUAAGUCAAUUGACUUCUUCUGGAGCAAGAGAGCAUGCAAGCUCCAAAGCAGAUGACCUGCUGUCUGUUGCACUCCUGCAACCUCCUUUAUAUCUGUCUAAUCUUGUUUCUGUGGUUUUAAUCAUCUAGCCUUUUGACUAUGAUAUGACUCUAGCCAAUGAGGACAG